GAUGAACGCUAGCGGCAGGCUUAAUACAUGCAAGUCGUGGGGCAGCAUGAGUAGCAAUACUUGAUGGCGACCGGCAAACGGGUGAGGAACACGUACACAACCUUCCUUCAAGCGGGGAAUAGCCCAGAGAAAUUUGGAUUAAUACCCCAUAAUAUAUUUGAUAAGGCAUCUUAUUAAUAUUAAAGCUUCGGCACUUGAUGAUGGGUGUGCGGCUGAUUAGAUAGUUGGCGGGUAACGGCCCACCAAGUCUAUGAUCAGUAGCUGAUGUGAGAGCAUGAUCAGCCACACGGGCACUGAGACACGGGCCCGACUCCUACGGGAGGCAGCAGUAAGGAAUAUUGGACAAUGGACGAAAGUCUGAUCCAGCCAUGCCGCGUGAAGGAUUAAGGGUCCC
This 394-nucleotide ribosomal RNA is filed under the name uncultured bacterium. Its description in RNAcentral is "bacterial SSU rRNA". It matches the Rfam family "Bacterial small subunit ribosomal RNA", at positions 28 to 419 of the family's 1533-position model. The record is from RNAcentral.